UGCAUUUUGCAGCGAACCUCACGCCCCUAAUUAUCUACCACCCGGAUUUUUUUGGAAUUUUUUGAAUUUUUCUAGUAUUUUUAUUUGAUUUUUUUCCGUGAGCGCGGGUGCAGAUGAGCCCGGUGCAGAUUCACCGCACUCGCUUUCGCCCCGCUUUAUAUAUAAAGCAAAGAUCAACAACAUCCCAGUACAGACGCACUCCACCCCAACACACACACACACACCCAAGGCGGGAUACAAAGGCGCUGAGCGCAGCAACACGACCCCUAGCACUACAAGAGCAACCGGGGGCUCCACAAGUGAACACGCCACCGUGAAGAGAUGAAGCCGUAUAUGACGAGUCGUGGGCUUCAAGACGGUGCCUUCAGGAAGGUUACGACAACGGAGCGCCGCCACCGCCCGAUCCGAGGAUCAAAGUUUCCCUAGGAGCCACACGAAGACAAUUAGAGCCGCGACGACGCCUUCAGGAAGGGAACUACGCCAUCGUCGGUCCGUCCGAAGACAGAGCAGGUUUUCACCCCGGACAAUACUCACCGCACGAACGCCGCACCCCGACAACCACGCUGCCCACACGGCCAUGGCCACCGGGCAACACCAAGCGACAGGCUCUGCCCAAGAGCACCGCGCAACCACCACCAGGGCCGCCGCCCCGGCAUCCGAGGCCUAGAUACCACCUCACCCGACACCCGCCACUACCCCAAUUGAAGAGACGAUCGGAACCAGGGCAAGCCUCCAUCGAUUCGUCCUGCAGCACCGGGCGCGAGACGAGCUAGGUCCUGCUGCCGGGCGCGAGACGAGCGCGGUCCUGCUACUGGGCGCGAGACGAGCACAAUCCUGCUGCCGGGCGUGAGACGAGCUCGGUCCUGCUGCCCGAGCGCGAGACUAGUGAUGAGCUGCAGCAUGGAGAGGGUCAUCCUUCAACGGAAAUAGCACCCGGACGACGAGGAGAUAGAUCAAGGGCUGUCACAAGCCGCCUACGGACGAGCUGACGCCGGUAUAAGCCAGCCGCCGCCGCAGCCGACUUGCCAAGGCACCGUGGAGCCAUCCACGGCCAGAGCAGCAGCCGCCCCGGCCACUGCCCAACCCGCGCCGUCCGACGAGCUCCAGGCGUUGGAGCCGCCGGGCACGCACCCGCGCAUCCAGCCGCCCCCAAGCACCCACCCUCGAGCAUCACCCCAACGCCGAAAGGACGGAAAGGCCCCAUCUUGAGCUGGAGACCCCCGACCUCCCACAAUCCAGCCCGCAAUGGGCCCCUUGCAGCACCGCCAGCCACCAGGAAAGCUGGAUCCGGCGCCCAUCCAGCUAGAUCGGAGCGAAAGCCGAGGGGUGAGGAGUCAGAGACGGCGGAGGGAGGGAGCCGCCGCCCGCCACCGCCAGCCGCGGCCCGCCGCCUUGCGCACGCCGGCGCGCCGCCUCGCGCCCCGCCGCCGCACGCCGCACGCCGAAGCCCAGCCGCGCCACCACUCGCCGAGGCCCGUAGCCACGCGCCCGACCGCGCGCACUCCGGGACACCGCCGGCCGCCGCCCAAAUCCGCCGCCCGCAGACACAGGGGAGCCGCGAGAAGACCUCCCGCCGCCGCUGUCUGCCGCGGGCUUCGCCCAACGGUGUCCUUCGGUGGCGGCGCGCUAGGGUUGGGAGCCCCCGAGUCGCCCUGGGCAGGGGCGACGCGAGGGAGGUGUUUCAAACUUCAGGUAGUACAACAUUCGCCAUUUGUACAUAGAGAAUAAAAGAUCACUUUAAUAUGUCUUUUUGUCAACCACGGUAACUGGUGCACGUUGAGUACAUGAAGACCAACGGGUGGAACUGGGAUAAGUGGUUUCAAGCAGAGCAACAUCCCAGAGUUCUCCUUGGAGGCGACCACCUUGUAGGAUCGAACCAGUGUCAGUUCAGGAUUUCAGGUCAGUUUGGCUGGUCGUUGGCUCGUUGCUGGGUAAAUUCUUCUCCUUGGUAGUGAAAACUAUGUGAGGAUAAACGAAUAGUUGUCACUGGGAUUGGAUGUGCAUUCUGCAUUGCAAAUUUUUUAUGGUGGUUCCUGCAUUGCACUUAAUUGUUGUGUAGACUCGAUUUUGUCAUGUUUCAUUCAAUAGCCAUGAUAUGAGACCGAGGACAAUAUAAAUAUAUCCAAUGUGAAUAACUAUGAAAAAUUUAGUUGUGCCUUAUCUAUACUGGUAGAGAUAUGAUACUGCCAUGCAUGCUGGCUGACUUUCCCGAUGAUGUUGUCUGAGUUCUAAUAGUCCAAGUCUCCGUAUAUGUUUCAGAACAUUAAUGAUCUUGAAGAUUAUGACUUAAGUAGGAAAUUUAGAGGCAAAAGUAUACAAAUACAGUCAGUAGAUCAAUAAUUACACUUUAUUGAAAAAAUAUUAGUUUCAGUUUGAUUUCCGUUUAUGCAUCAUCAUGCACUGAAAUUUUCGUUGUCAUUUUGCGAAAAACAUAAAUGUGUACAUGUAUGUUCCUUCCGUCAUGCUAAAUUAUACAGAGUUGGAAUUAUUUGUUGUGAUAGAGCAACGACUAUAGAUGUAACUAUUAGAUGUACUGAAAAAUGUGAAGAGCAUAUAAUAGCUUAGGCCCCUAAUCUAUCCCCCUUCUGUUUUGAUUUGAUCAUUCAUCUAAGCACAAAUUCAGUUUCAGUAACUAAAGGUAUAUGUAAGUUUACAUUUAUACAUUCUUCACUUUCUGACCCAUAUUUGUAUGAAGGGCGUGUGUCAUACACAGCUGAAACUAUCCAUAUUGUAAUGACUCUCCAAGCAUAUGAUCUGACCAAAGCUUACUAUGUUAAUUCUAAUUCUAAUUGUAAUGUUGCAUACCAGAUAAGGGACACCAAUAGUUGGGUUGUAACUUGAACAUCUGAUCUGAUCAUCUUGGCAUCUCGGCCUCAUAUGUGAACGGAAUUGGAUGUGUUGAGGUAAAGAAGUAGAUGUAGGUAUUGGGAGGUAAUAUUAGCAAGGUGGCAUGACCAAGGAGUCAGACAGAAAAUGCUUUAUAAAUCAAUGCAAACAACAUGCUGCAAUUUGGUAACGUUGUAGAAAUGUCAAGUGGUACUCCCACCGAUCCAAAAUAAGACGACACCUAUUUUGGAUCGGAGGGAUUGCGUAUGAUUUUUCCAAGAAAACUUGAUCCUUUUAAUCUUAGAAAUCAGCUGAAUGGUUACUAUUGCAACACUUAAAUCACUUAAAUUUCAUUCAUAUAAUUUUGGUAUUUAUUGUUCCUUGCUUCUUGACCUAUCAAUUAAUACCCUCCCCCUAAUUUUUGUUGUUGCAAAUAGCAACCACUUGAUUUUAAAAAAUUAUGCAGCUGCCUAUCUGAAAAUAAACAGUGAUCUAGCUUUUGAGGUUUUCAUGCAAUCUAAUAAAAUAUUAACAUUAUUUAGACAAAGUAAAAGUUACUUCUUUACUGAAAUAUGUUUUAUCGUGGUUGCAGGAUUUGUCUGUCAUUUGCCCAACCGUGUUCAGUAGACAAUCAUCGAGAAUGAUUGUACCUGGAGAAGAAGACGACCAUUGACAACAGAGAAGAGGAGGUGAAGAGUAUGAACCUGGACAAGAAGACGACCAAUAAGAAGAAGAUGAUGAUUUUCCGGCUGCCACAAGAGGAGCUGGAUUAUUACCUUACCUUUCAAGUGAGACCCAUUUGGCAAAGUCUGGCUCUACGGGAUCCUUCCACCGCUGCUAAGGUGGAGGCAAUCAACCAACGAAUUCUGAUUGAGCAGGAGAAGAUGAGACAAGAGUACGAGGCCAAAGGCUAUGUCACGUUCGAAGCAGAGGUCACCGACGACGACGAGGAGGUAGAAGACGCAGCAGCUCUUUGUGUCACUGCACAAGAAGAGGAGAAAAAUUAUGAAGCAGCAGCUCCUUGGAUUCCACAAGGAAGAGGCCGAAGGAGAUUUCGCCCGAGAGUCGUCAAGCAAGCAGGCCGCGUUAAGAAAAUAAUAAUUUAGGCUAUUCAAGCAAGCAACAUUGGAGUAAUAUUAGUUGGUCAUUGGCCAAUUUCAUUGUGAUUUAACAACCGGAAUCUCUGUAUCGAUUAUGUUGGUGCUGUUGCAAAUUCAGUUUAAAGCCGUUUAUUGUUUUAA
Molecule: non-coding RNA, 4067 nt
Organism: Triticum urartu
Lineage: Eukaryota; Viridiplantae; Streptophyta; Magnoliopsida; Poales; Poaceae
Source: RefSeq, a predicted model, not a curated record